RNAcentral lists this ribosomal RNA (253 nucleotides) under uncultured bacterium. RNAcentral describes it as "partial 16S ribosomal RNA". It matches the Rfam family "Bacterial small subunit ribosomal RNA", at positions 524 to 776 of the family's 1533-position model. The record is from RNAcentral.
UACGUAGGGGGCAAGCGUUGUCCGGAUUUAUUGGGCGUAAAGCGCUCGCAGGUGGUCCGAUGCGUCGUGCGUGAAAUACCCCGGCUUAACUGGGGGGCGUCGUGCGAUACGGUCGGACUGGAGGCCAGUAGGGGGAUGCGGAAUUCCGGGUGUAGUGGUGGAAUGCGUAGAGAUCCGGAGGAACACCAGCGGCGAAGGCGGCAUCCUGGACUGGUCCUGACACUCAGGAGCGAAAGCGUGGGGAGCGAUCCGG